This is a long non-coding RNA of Takifugu rubripes (torafugu), 1565 nucleotides long. Lineage: Eukaryota; Metazoa; Chordata; Actinopteri; Tetraodontiformes; Tetraodontidae. The record is from Ensembl.
AUGUUGGACAGCUGGCUUAAACCUGGACUCUCUCUUUCUAGAGAAGCAGAGCCUGUUGAGGAUGAGAGUCCACUGAGGGAGGAGAAUGCAGAGGAGGAGGAGGAGGAGGAAGAGGAGGUGGAGGAGGAGGAGGAGGAGGAGGAGGAGGAGGAGAUAGAUGAAGAGGGGUGGGGAGAGAUGGAGGAGGAAGAGGAAGAUGACUGGGAGAAUGAGGAGAAUGAAGAGACACCGAUCACCAGUGAGGAGGGUGAGUCACCUCCUCACUUAUCUGAGGAGGGCUCUGGGGGCUAUGAAGGCUCUGCAGAUGCCUUUGUGACCCUGGGUGACAUCGGUUCUGGGGAGUCAUGGACAGAGGAAGGUAUGGAUGUUGUGGGUGAGAGUCAACCCUCUGAGAGCCAGGCAAAACCAGCAGAGCAGGAGCUACGAGAGGAGCACCUUCUGAGCCCUUAGGCCUACAGUGGCACGCGUGCGCGUUCACACACAUACACGCACACGCACGCACACACACACACACACACACGCACACACACACACACACACACACACACACACACACAAAGCAGCUUUAUUAGUGUACCCUCUAAUUUCAUUCAAUCAUUUCAAACACAUUUCAAGUCUUAUCAAUCUCAUAUUGCCACACUUUCGAUGGGUUUAUGCAAACAUUUAGGUAAACCCUUUAUUGUGGUCUGGUAGAUCCCAACAUCAAAGCCUUUUCAUUUUAACCACUGUGAGCUGGAAUGUAUCCAAUAUAUGAAAUAAAUUUCUGUUUUGGUUUUUGACAUUUCUACUUUGUAUUUGUAAAAAAAAAAAGAAAAACUGUCAAAAAAUGAUAAAUUACAAAAACGAUAAAUGAUAUAUAACAAAAACGUUAUCUCUUUUCUUAAUGUGUCCCCCUCCCAAAAGAGUUUAACAUAUCUCCAGUCAGCCAAUUUGCCAUUUCUGGAUUUGAACGGUAGGAGAAACAUCGAUUUAUUUGAACCGUACUUUAACUGUACUAAUUAUAACUUAAAGCUCAAUGGAACACAGGUGAUUUUAGAAUUCAACUUUUUUAACUAUACUGCUCCCUUUACCCACUAGAGGGCGCUAACGUAUAAUUUAAAACGCUUUAAGCGUGAUUAUAGGCACCUUAAGAUAUCUGAACUCGAUAAACAUUAGAGGCGCAAGGGGGAGGACCAGUUCGGUAGUCUUCGUGCUAUGAUUGGUCGGAAUCUUAACAACAACCCGCCCCCGGAUUUUGUGUACGGAAUAUGAUUGGGUCAUACGAUAAAGAGCUCUAGAGUGCAAAGAUAGGUAACACACCGUCUAAACGAAAGGGGGACAAGAACUCUUAGUUCUAAUACAUUGACAAAAAAGUUUUCCGAAUUAAUUUAGGUCGCCACAGACACUUCUCAAAUAAACAUUUGGACCAGGGCUGCCAAGUUAUUUCUUUUGAAUCCUUGAUCAUUUUGUCCCUCUGGCCCCGCCCCUCUCACAGUUCCCGUACACAUGACCCACGUCACAUGACGUAGGGUCAUGAUACUUCCUGGUUCAGACAAACGGGCUGGCUUCACGGAACGGGGCUAUCU